GUGGAUUGACCAAAAUGUAUUUAACAAAAAAUACACACAGGAGCACAAUGGAAAAAACACUAACUCGAAGUACUCAAAAAAAUGCCUGGAAAUAAUGAGGAACAAACAAAACUAAGACAGGAAACAAAACAUGACAGGAGCACACGUAUGCUCACAUACUCGCAGCUCACAAUGACCCAACCAAGACUGGCAGAAACUCGGGGAACUAAAUACAAGCUAAGUGACGAGACAACAAACACCUGGACAACACACAAAGGGUUGAGGGAGCUAAUUGGUUACACACAAGGAACACUGAUAACGAGAACAA
Molecule: long non-coding RNA, 307 nt
Organism: Hippocampus zosterae (dwarf seahorse)
Lineage: Eukaryota; Metazoa; Chordata; Actinopteri; Syngnathiformes; Syngnathidae
Exons: 2
Source: RefSeq, a predicted model, not a curated record